AAACACCUAAAUCUUACUAAAUUUGGUUAAGCAGUUUGUAUACCACUAUUUAAGCAAUAAUUUAUUAUUAUUACUAAAAUUUAUUAAAAAUAAAAAAAGUUAAGUCAAGGUGCAGCAUAAAAUUUAGUAUGAAGUGAAUUACAUCUCUUUAAAGAGAAAUAUUUUGAAAAUGAAAUUUAGGAUUUGAAAGUAAAGUUUUAAUAGAAAGAAAAUUUGAAUUUAGCUCUAAAAUAUGUACAUAUCGCCCGUCGCUCUUUUAUGAAGAUAAGUCGUAACAAAGUUAAAGUACUGGAAAGUGCUUUA
Molecule: ribosomal RNA, 303 nt
Filed under: Haemaphysalis hystricis
Lineage: Eukaryota; Metazoa; Arthropoda; Arachnida; Ixodida; Ixodidae
Description: partial 12S ribosomal RNA
Source: RNAcentral